This 69-nucleotide small nucleolar RNA is filed under the name Mus musculus (house mouse). RNAcentral's name for it is "predicted gene, 24983 (ENSMUSG00000077645.3)". It matches the Rfam family "Small nucleolar RNA SNORD115", at positions 1 to 71 of the family's 82-position model. From Rfam's summary of the family: HBII-52 is a member of the C/D class of snoRNAs, which contain the C (UGAUGA) and D (CUGA) box motifs. HBII-52 is encoded in a tandemly repeated array with another C/D snoRNA, HBII-85, in the Prader-Willi syndrome (PWS) region of chromosome 15. Lineage: Eukaryota; Metazoa; Chordata; Mammalia; Rodentia; Muridae. The record is from Rfam by way of RNAcentral.
GGGUCAAUGAUGACAACCCAAUGUCAUGAAGAAAGGUGAUGACAUAAAAUGCAAUCCCCAUUAAAAUUC